CCUACGGGUGGCAGCAGUGGGGAAUAUUGCGCAAUGGGCGAAAGCCUGACGCAGCGACGCCGCGUGAGGGAUGAAGGUCUUCGGAUCGUAAACCUCUGUCAGCAGGGAAGAACGGUCACUGUGCUAAUCAGCAGUGAAUUGACGGUACCUGCAAAGGAAGCACCGGCUAACUCCGUGCCAGCAGACGCGGUAAUACGGAGGGUGCGAGCGUUAAUCGGAAUUACUGGGCGUAAAGCGCUCGUAGGCGGUAUGUCAAGUCAAGGGUGAAAUCCCCGCGCUCAACGUGGGAACUGCCUUUGAAACUGGCAAACUGGAGUGUGUGAGAGGAUAGGGGAAUUCCAGGUGUAGGAGUGAAAUGCGUAGAUAUCUGGAGGAACAUCAGUGGCGAAGGCGACUAUCUGGCACAUAACUGACGCUGAGGAGCGAAAGCGUGGGUAGCAAACAGGAUUAGAUACCCUAGUAGUC
RNAcentral lists this ribosomal RNA (465 nucleotides) under uncultured bacterium. Its description in RNAcentral is "partial 16S ribosomal RNA". It matches the Rfam family "Bacterial small subunit ribosomal RNA", at positions 338 to 795 of the family's 1533-position model. The record is from RNAcentral.